CACGUAAGAGGCAAGCGUUGUUCGGAAUUAUUGGGCGUAAAGGGUACGUAGGCGGUUAUGUAAGCCCGGCGUGAAAUCCUGCAGCUUAACUGUAGAAUUGCGCUGGGAACUGCGUAACUUGAGUCAUGGAAGGGAAGUUAGAAUUCCAGGUGUAGGGGUGAAAUCUGUAGAUAUCUGGAAGAAUACCGGUGGCGAAGGCGAACUUCUGGCCAAUGACUGACGCUGAGGUACGAAAGUGCGGGGAGCAAACAGG
This 253-nucleotide ribosomal RNA is filed under the name uncultured bacterium. RNAcentral's name for it is "partial 16S ribosomal RNA". It matches the Rfam family "Bacterial small subunit ribosomal RNA", at positions 524 to 776 of the family's 1533-position model. The record is from RNAcentral.